This 253-nucleotide ribosomal RNA is filed under the name uncultured bacterium. RNAcentral describes it as "partial 16S ribosomal RNA". It matches the Rfam family "Bacterial small subunit ribosomal RNA", at positions 524 to 776 of the family's 1533-position model. The record is from RNAcentral.
UACGUAGGCAGCAAGCGUUGUUCGGAGUUACUGGGCGUAAAGGGUGUGUAGGCGGUUCCUUAAGUUUGCUGUGAAAUCUCCCGGCUUAACCGGGAGGGUGCGGUGAAUACUGAGGGACUAGAGUACGGGAGAGGAAAGUGGAAUUCCUGGUGUAGCGGUGAAAUGCGUAGAUAUCAGGAGGAACACCGGUGGUGUAAACGGCUUUCUGGACCGUAACUGACGCUGAGACACGAAAGCGUGGGUAGCAAACAGG